GAAAGAUCUUUGGAGGAACUGGAAUCGACUAUCAAUGCUGAUCUGCUUUAUUAUUCUGACUGGCUGCGUUAUAACAGACUGAGCAUAAAUGUAGACAAGACUGUAUAUAUGUAUAUAAGGCAGAAGAACAAGCCAUUCCAUGAAAUACAAGUCAAGUUUGAUGAUAUUUCACUUGAUCGUGUGAAACAGCACAAAUAUCUAGGGUUGUAUAUUGAUGAAAGAUUGAAUUGGGAAAAACACAUAGAACACAUGAUACGUAGGUUAACUCCUGUGGUGGGUUCCCUGAGAAGAUGCUCAUUUAUGUUCAGUACACAACACAAAAAAAUGAUCUACCACAUCUUGAUCUCCUCCAGACUGAGGUACCUCAUUAAUUGUUGGGGAAAUGCAUCAAAUACAUUAUUAACAAGGCUACAAGUGUUCCAAAAUAGAACUAUAAAGAUAUUAUUGAACUAUGGCAAGUUAACACCUACAUCAAUAUUCUAUAAGAACACUAAACUUUUGGACAUUCAUAACCUAAAGAAAUUGGAACAAGUUAA
Molecule: long non-coding RNA, 536 nt
Organism: Harmonia axyridis
Lineage: Eukaryota; Metazoa; Arthropoda; Insecta; Coleoptera; Coccinellidae
Exons: 3
Source: RefSeq, a predicted model, not a curated record